GAACUGAAGAGUUUGAUCAUGGCUCAGAUUGAACGCUGGCGGCAGGCCUAACACAUGCAAGUCGAGCGGAUGAGGGGAGCUUGCUCUCUGAUUCAGCGGCGGACGGGUGAGUAAUGCCUAGGAAUCUGCCUGGUAGUGGGGGACAACGUUUCGAAAGGAACGCUAAUACCGCAUACGUCCUACGGGAGAAAGCAGGGGACCUUCGGGCCUUGCGCUAUCAGAUGAGCCUAGGUCGGAUUAGCUAGUUGGUGAGGU
This 255-nucleotide ribosomal RNA is filed under the name Pseudomonas sp. CO183. RNAcentral's name for it is "partial 16S ribosomal RNA". It matches the Rfam family "Bacterial small subunit ribosomal RNA", at positions 1 to 258 of the family's 1533-position model. Lineage: Bacteria; Pseudomonadati; Pseudomonadota; Gammaproteobacteria; Pseudomonadales; Pseudomonadaceae. The record is from RNAcentral.